GCAGGUGCAACCCGAUUAAUCAUUUUCACACCACCAAACACAAUGAAGCAUAGAAUGAGAGUCACAACAAUCCCAUAAAUUUGCAGGUCAUGUGAACUUGGACUUUCUAUAGGUUCUGAAGUUAUUGUGCCAUUAACCUUUGUAACAGUUUCUCUAAAUAUCCCAGCGGCAGGCACAGCUUUUAAAAAGGUUUCCACAGCUCCCAACACGUAAAGAGCUCCAGCAACUGCAUUCCCAAGGAAGAAACAUAGUAACUCCAACCUCUGGGCCAAGAGCACGACCAAUGAGAUAAUAUGGUCCCCCACCCUUCAUUGCACCAUUAGUCGCAAUUGCACUCAAUGAAAUUGACGUUAGGAAAGUACACAAACCACAAAAUGCUACCAGCAGAAGUGAUUCGCCUAUGCCAGCCAUGCCUACAAUCCAAGUAAAUCGGAUAUAGUAGAUAAUUCCCAAUAUGUUCUGUAAGCAUGGGAUAAAAACGCCCAUCAUUGUAUCAAGUUUAACAUCAUUAACCCUUGGACGCUCGUAAGCAAUUGAACCAUCU
This 544-nucleotide unclassified non-coding RNA is filed under the name Hevea brasiliensis (rubber tree). Lineage: Eukaryota; Viridiplantae; Streptophyta; Magnoliopsida; Malpighiales; Euphorbiaceae. The record is from RNAcentral.